UCGAAUAUGAACCUGCAUCAAACAGAGAGAGAUCAGAUACAUUAAAAGUAGCCGAAACAUUGUACUCACCUGGAAGGUCCAACUUGUAAGCAUUGUCGUUUAUCUUUUCAAUCACUUGAAAUGGACCAUCGUCCCUCGGUUGCAACUUGGACUUUCUUUGCUCCGGAAACCGCUCUUUCCUAAGGUGCACCCAAACCCAAU
RNAcentral lists this long non-coding RNA (201 nucleotides) under Olea europaea (common olive). RNAcentral's name for it is "long non-coding RNA (OEUR_LNC013293)". Lineage: Eukaryota; Viridiplantae; Streptophyta; Magnoliopsida; Lamiales; Oleaceae. The record is from RNAcentral.